AGGUUUAAUGGCAUACCCAUUGACUGGUCACUCUUCAUAGACACAACGCUGGGCUCAGUUUCAAAGUGAAAACUACCACAGAUUUCUUCAUGUUGCAGUUCCCAUGGCUACAAGUGGCAUGUGCUUGAAUUGGGUCCUGUCUCUGCCCCCUGUUUCAUCAUUUGUUUGUUACCUGAUUGUAUCCAGCUGUUUUGUAUUAGUUCUUGAUUACUUUGUUUAUGUAUAUCCAGUUAUGUCUCUAAACCUUUGCAAAGUCUUUUAAUGCCUUUGUAUCUUUAAGCCUGAACCAUUUCCAGGUUCCUGUUUUUUUAUUCUUGAUUCCCCAUAAAAAUGUCACGCUGAGUGUACACACUUGAGUUCCUACCUUCAUGAACUGCACUUUAUAGAAAGCAUUGCGGUGUUAUUGAUAGAGUCAAGAAAUUACAACUUUCGCCAUUCUGAACAGCUGCUUCGCCAUCCGUGAACCCUGCGCCAAGAUCUCGCACCCCAGAUUUCAAGUCCAGUAACCUGAGCCCCACCUCUUUUCCUUAUAUUGCUGCACAACUUUAUGUAUUUUCUACUGACAUGCCUCUUGGAUAGUCCUGCAUCAUACAAUGAGAGGGUUAGGCUGAUGCUAUUUUGGCUUACUGACAAAACUCAUGAGUGGACUAGAGGACUUGGUUAUGAAAGAGCAGAAAAGUCUUGUCACCAGCAUAUAGGGAGGAGCUUUUCAGAUUCUAAAUCCAUAACCUGGGCAGGCAAGGUACCCUUCACGUAAGCUCUCUUGAGUUAAAUUUUUUAAAUGAACAAACAAUGCAACGUUAGGGCAAUGUUCUUAUUUAAAAUUGCUUGUGCGACAUUCCUUACUUUUUCUUUUUAGACGUCUCUGCCUGUUCAAAUGGAGGAUCCACUGACUUUCUCUUCCUAGAUCCAACACUCUUUCCUUUAAUCAGACUAAAUACAUAAACCAGUGUUCAGUCAGCAAUAGUGAUUCUUUUUUUUGUAAAAUAAAAGAAAAUGCAAUAGGGUAGUAUUGUUCUUAAAAUAAACCUUAUUAUGAAACUGGAAUGUAGUGUAAACUUGUAAACUUGUCUAUGAAACAUUACUUACCUUUCUUUCUCCUCCUUUUGAAGGUUUAAUGGCAUACCCAUUGACUGGUCACUCUUCAUAGACACAACGCUGGGCUCAGAAAAUCCACUUCCCUGAAUCCACCACAUCCUACACACGGCAACCACAGACUACAAUCCUCAAGACCUCACUCUCCCGGCACGUUCACACUCCCCUGAAUAUUAAAUCAAUGUUUUCAACCACACACUCACUCUAUAUAUACAUAUAUAUAUGAAGUAACACACUGUGCGCUUACCUGAACUUACCUAGCCUUUUGAUUCAGUGACUGAUAUUCUGGUUUUUAAUCUUGCCAUGUUUCUUCAUGUUUCAAGUGCCUGAACACAUUUACAGUGAUGAUACAGCACAAACACCAGUACAGUUCUCUCUGCAUGCCCACUAGAUUGAAUGUUUGUACUGCCCAGCCUGAGGAGCAAGCUUAUUACCUGGGUGCAAACGACUCCAGUCAGUGUGCAUCCCAGCACAUAGAGAACAUAUCACCUGUUAAAGGCAAAGUACUGGUGGCCCAACAUGAUCUCUGAGAUUGACAAAUUUAUCUUGUCAUGCACUGCUUGACUGCUCCUUCAAACUAGUAUUUACUCAUGUGUUUCACUAUCAUUCACAUGUGAAUCCCUGAGGUCAUUGUGAGUAUCGAGGCACUCACUUCACCUCCAGGUCUGGUCUAGCUUCAUGGGAAAUCUGGGAGUCUUGCUAAGCCUCACAUCUUGCUACCAUACACAGGCCAAUGGACACAUUUGUUUGUUACCUGAUUGUGUCCAGCUGUUGUGUAUCAGUUCUAAAUUACUUUGUUCAUGUAUGUAUCUUGUUGUCUCUGUAAAUCCUUGCAAAUAAAGAUAGCCUGAAAGGAUAUCAGCUCGAUGCUCAUUAAAACUGAUCUAGGGUCAGAUUUACCAUGCUUAAACACCUGGACUGAUCCUAAAUCCAUAAUCCCAGCAGGCAGGGUGCACUGCAAGUAUUAUCUUUCAGUUAAAUAUUAAAAAUGAACAAACUAAACUAAAACUAAACAGUAGAUAAUAAAAAAUCAUAUUAAAAAUUAGUAUAGAAGAGCAAAACGCCUGCCAUUACCUGGUAGCCAGUGUAUAACAUUACACUUCAUAACACUUCCCAAAAUAAUAAUGAUAACAAGCAGAACUCAACAACAACAAUAACCCCUUGUUCUUGAGAUAAUGAGAUUCUCAUAUGGACAGACAACAAAAAAAAACAUAAUACCUAAUAAUUAAAUG
Molecule: long non-coding RNA, 2327 nt
Organism: Ictalurus furcatus (blue catfish)
Lineage: Eukaryota; Metazoa; Chordata; Actinopteri; Siluriformes; Ictaluridae
Exons: 3
Source: RefSeq, a predicted model, not a curated record